This is a long non-coding RNA of Oncorhynchus tshawytscha (Chinook salmon), 244 nucleotides long. RefSeq lists it as uncharacterized. The record is from RefSeq and is a predicted model, not a curated record. NCBI's taxonomy places the organism in Eukaryota, Metazoa, Chordata, Actinopteri, Salmoniformes, Salmonidae. The transcript is spliced from 3 exons.
ACCUCUACUUCAUUGAGGAGCCAGGUGGGACCACAGAGCAGGCUCCUCCAUCUUCUCCUGCCAACUCUGUCAGUCCACCAGACCCCACAAUGCAGCCUCCACACCACUGCAGUAACAGCCAUAUCUUCACGUCACAAAGCUUCAGUACUAUCUGAAUGUGUUGAAGUACCAUCCAGCAUCCUGUGGCAACCUCAAUGUGAAUCAUGAUCACCACCGACCCGGGCUCCACAGAGGUAGCCUUGGA